Molecule: long non-coding RNA, 4495 nt
Filed under: Ooceraea biroi (clonal raider ant)
Lineage: Eukaryota; Metazoa; Arthropoda; Insecta; Hymenoptera; Formicidae
Description: uncharacterized LOC109610790
Source: RNAcentral
CGUCUUCUUCCUUCCUCUUUUUCUUUACUUUUUGUUCCGCUCCUAUUCGUUCGCUUUGAUCGGUUUCAGAAUUGUCUAUCCGACUCUGCUGUCUCUUUGUCUCUCCAGCAUCGUACGCUCUCUCUCUCUCUAACUUCCGCUAAACGUCCACCACACGUGCCUUCCUCGAUCGUAUACGCUAAUCCAUCCUGCAUCUAGCGUUCUACCCUACUAUAUCUCGUUCGCCCUGAUCUUUGCAAGUUCGUGUGAAAAUUAGCCUAAAAAGUUCACUUUUCCUUAUCUUCCUAUCUUUUCCGCCGCGUCCUUUUUGCUGCCACUGAUUUUCUAUAAAACGCCGCAGCCAAUUGUUGCAAUGACGUUAUAAUUUCCUCCAGAAAUCAUCAAUGCUCUGCAGAUAAAUUAUAACUGACAACGUCUUCUAAAUAAACGAAUUGCACAUAAUUUCCACAAUCUAAACCUACGAUGGAAGCAGAUCUAUGAUAGACACGAAAGUACACGACAGCGAGAGUAUAAACUAUAUAGGGUGAUAUACUCGUAAUGAAUAGCAGAAAAAAAUCAAGAUAUUUUUCUUCUAUUGUAUUUAAAUGAAAAAACAUAAUAGUGACAAUGCCUUUGCCCUUAUCGCGAUCGUUAAACUAUGACUUUUCACGAUAAAUCUAUAAGAAUCUUAAAAAAUGAGAUUUCUCGCCAACGUUAACGUUUCGCGCCUCGGGCGGAAUUUUUCAGAUAAAUUACAAGAGUCUUCACGUUUUUAUUUUCAUUAUUUUCAUGUUUGUGGAAAGCUGAAGAAUUUUUGAAUAAAAAUAUUUAACUUAUGAAUGGUACGUAUUUUGAAAUUAAAUACGAUCAUUUAAUUUAGAGAUUAACUCGUUUAGCGUUAAAUCUAUGGUCAUUAUUAACAUUAGAGAAAAAUCUAUUGAUUUUAUACACUUUGCAUUAAAAGUGGAAUGAAAACAAGAAUUUAUGAAUCUAUCGAUCAGAGAACGCAUCGACUCGAAGAACACGAUAUAUCCAUAUCUGCAUGCAAACUUGAACAUACUAGCAUUCCCGUAAUAAACGUAAUACAGGCAGUUUCAGGUGCGCAAACAACACUUUUGAAUGCAGAUGUCACAACCGCGUUCCGAUCACACACAAAAUGGCAUUACGUCCUUGUGAAGAUUAAAAAAUGGGGCGUAUCUCAUUCAUUAACGAUAAAACUAGAUGUGUCGAUGAAUCGCGCAUGUAUGCGACAUCGUCUCUUAUUCGAUAUGCAUUGACAACAAAAUCGAUCUUGCACGAUCCCUGAAAGAUCUCGCAAACUGACAAACUCCAAGAUGGUUCCGUCGAAUUAAUUUCCGCUCGAAUAAAUCUAUAUUUGCCGUGCAAAUGUCUACCUGCAAAUUUACAUUCUUCUGUCAUUUAUUUUCGAAAAGUAUAUAUCUGUAACGAGAAGUAUGGUCUCUCUAACCUUCAUAAUUAACUCGUGAAUCUUAUAUCAUAUUUUGAUCGUGUAAUUUACGUGAAUUUUUAUUGUACAUCUCGAAUAAUGUCGUUCUUGUAAUUGUUACAAUAUUUAUUUUUACUCUCUUUUUCUUAUUAUUAUUUCUUAUUUAAUUUCUAAGGUGCCUUGGUGUUAUAAUUUUUUUUUGUACUAGUAUGUAAUUCUAUUUUUUAUACUACUAUUUGUAAUUUGCAAACUACUACUCCCUAAGUAACUGUACCACAUGAUUAUGUAUCCUACAAUUUCGUUCAUUUCGAAAUAAUUGUACAUAAGAAUAGCUUUUGCGGUAUUUCUGUGUUAUAAGUCCUCCAUAUAUUGAAACAAGUAAUUUAUUGAAAUGCGCAUAUUGAAUGCAUUCAUAAAGGCAAUGCGCCUAAAAGUUUGCGAUUCCGAUAGGUCAUGUAUCAAUUUCUUCUUCAACAUACACAUAGAAUAUCAAGAACUAAAUAACAGUUUUAUUUACACAAAUACACGAAAACAUAUUGCAUCAACAAAUUUAUGUCAACAUUUUGAUGUUGCUAUUAUCCUAUUCAAAAUCUAUUUCCAUUUCGAAACACAUGAACUGUUAAUUAAAACAUACAACUUGUAGCUUCACGCAAUUAUUUCGCGCAAUGAUAAUCAAACGUCAACGUAUUUACAACUUUGCACGUUCUCCCAUUUUAAAAGCUUUCAUAUUCAAAGUUAUAUAUACCAUUUCAAUAAUAAUUUAUUGAUUGUAAUAUAGCAAUUCUUUUUGUAUAUUUUUAUUCGGUUAAUAACAAAAAGAUUAAUAACAGGAAAUGUAAUUUUAUUCAAUAAAUACAAGUUAAUUUUGGAUAUGACUGAUGUUUGAAAUUAUAAAAAAAAAAUAGCUCGAGUUAAUGGAAAAAUUAUACUCUGCGAAUGUGGACACACAAAGCGUAAUUUGAAUUUUUUAAUUUAAUUUAAUUAACACGGAAACACGCGAUACUCGUGCCGAGUUUAAUUUUGAUAUGUCAAGAGAGCCAUUGUCAAAGAGGUGUGGAAAUGCGCCGGGAUACCGCUGGAAAACCGCAGCGAUUGAAUGGCGCAAUGUUGGAGUUACGAGAAGCGCGAGAAGUGCAAACGAGAGAACACUUUUGUUCGCUUCUCCUUUCCUUCCUAGUCGCGCACACGCCAAGCUCGAGCUCCGCAUCGAAUGAAUAACUGAAACAAUGCGGAGCGAAAGCGAGCGCGCAGUACCAUGGCGUUCUCGUAACAUCGAUCGUAAGAUUACAAUUGGGUUAAAGUCGGUGUCGCGCACGUUCGUCUGGACGCGUGGACUAAGAGCCGACUUGGCCAACGAUGCUGUUCACAAUCCUGGAAUAACAUUGUUUAAGAUCGUGCCCCGGUAGCGAUCAGCUUGAACAAACGAAGUUCCCGAUCUCUUGUGUUUGAGGACGAACUGGCUGCGCAAUGACAGAGUCAUCGAGGCUUGGAGCGAAGUGGCUAAUGAGGGAUGACAGAAACAAUACUAGUAGGGUGAGGAUAGCAGGGAAACAAGGAAAAAUACAGUGGGGCGAAGGAUAGCGGGAGCCACAGCUACGCGAGGUCGCGAGAGAGGAAUGGCACAAGACGAAGGGUGGCAGGCACCAAAGGGAGUGGUAGAAUAAGAGAGAGAACGGGGAGAAGAGAUGGGUGGCGGUCGGAGGUUGCCGAGGCUGAAAUGAAAUAUUGAUCUGUGGAGGCGCGCGCAACCCCUGCAGCCGACCCGCCCUUGUCCACCAUUUUCCACCGAUAUCUCGCUGUUGUGAACAUUGCCAAAUUUUUAUCAAUUUUACCGAAAUGCCGAACUUUCUCGCGACUCGUCCAUUUAUCCGCUUCUUUUUUAUCUUUUCUUUCCUUUCUUGAUCAACUCUUUCGCUUCUGUUAUUGUUAACGGAUAAUCAAAAACAGCAGAAAAAUUGAGAGCGAAAACAGGAACGUUCAUCCAAAACAUCCAAAAUACUUGAGAACAAAUACUUGCGAAAAACUACAGUUUGAAUCACAAAACGUUUUAAAUCAGGAAGAUUGUGUAUGAUAUUUUUUAUACAAGAUAUUGAAUGUAAUAUUUGUGAAUUUCUCUAAAUAUUUAUAGUGUAAUCUUAUUUUAAUACGUUCGUUAUCAAUGUCACAUAAAUGUGCUGCACCGAUUUUUCUUGUGAGACCAGGGUCACACACGUGCGACAAUCUUUUUUUUUUAUAUUACUUGCAUAAAAACAAUGAAGAGCAUUAUUUCAGCGUCAAAAAUAGAAAAAAUGUGAGAUAAUCUGUGGUCAGCGAUUUUCCAAUUACACCGUGAUAGCAAACGUGUUAGCCAGAAUUAUUGUAUGUACACAUAAUAAACAGCUGUCAAUUUAUUAAUCAGGAUGCAUAAUUAGAAUUCGAGAUGCAAUAUCGGUUAAUUAUAAUUUCGUUUAAAUUAUAUUCUAUAUUUUUCUCAGAUCAGUAAAUAAAUAUUCCGAGUUAUUUAUGAUCUUAUCUUUUAUCUAAAUCAAUUUAUACAAAAUAAAUUUUUAAUUGCAUUAUCGAUAAAAUUUUUUUACAAAAAUAUAACAAAAUGUAAUACAUCUUACAAUACACGUAUGCGUAAAGAUUAUCAAGAGUUUCCUUCACAAUUUCUUUUUCUUCUAUUUGUAGAACAAUCAAAAACAUUGAAAUAUGCACGCGAGAGAGAUCAAUACAUAGAUAGAUAGAAGAAGGAAGGAUAGGAGAGAAGAGGAGAGAGAGAGAGAGAGAGAGAGAGGCAAAAAGAGACAAACUCUGUAUCGAAUGAAACAAAAUUAAAAAUCAGCAAUAAAAAAUAAAAAAAGAAAUAACACUAGAUUGUCCGAAUUAAAUUUGAUCUCUCUAUUACGUGAAAUACAAUUCUAAUUGAAUAAGAGAAACUACUCAAUAUUCUAAGUUCGAUAUUAGCACAAUUCAAUCAUCACCAUUUUUAUUUCCUUAACAGGAAAACCGCGAUAAAUAGUUUGUAAAAUUUGUUCCCAAAACAAUGUCAAAUAUAUAAUAAUGUUACAAUAGAUGUUAAUGCUGACA